UUUGAUGCCCCAUUUUAAGUUUUAUUUUGGAUUUUAGUCCCCUUUCUAUUUGGAACUAAUUUUUAAGGGGGCCAAAAGUAUAAAAAAAUUAAAGUAAGGGGACCAAGAUUCUGAAUAUUAAAAUAGAGGGAUCAAAAGUAAAAUAAAAAUAAAAAUAGGGAGACUCUUCUUGCUAAAAAUACUAAAAGGUUGACUUUCCUAUUAUCCGUCAGGGAGGGCAUAAAAUGAUUGGUUUAGGUUCCUAUUUAUGUCUUUUCUGAGGCCCCCCUUGCCUCAUUUCUUC
Molecule: long non-coding RNA, 283 nt
Filed under: Lathyrus oleraceus (garden pea)
Lineage: Eukaryota; Viridiplantae; Streptophyta; Magnoliopsida; Fabales; Fabaceae
Description: Pisum sativum (pea) long non-coding RNA (PSAT_LNC007671)
Source: RNAcentral